UCNNNNNNNNNNNNNNNNNNNNGACGAAAAAUGAAUACCAAGUCUCAAGAGUGAACACGUAAUUCAUUACGAAGUUUAAUUCAUUGAGCAUCAAACUUUUAAAUUGAAGAGUUUGAUCAUGGCUCAGAUUGAACGCUGGCGGCAGGCCUAACACAUGCAAGUCGAACGGUAACAGGAAGCAGCUUGCUGCUUUGCUGACGAGUGGCGGACGGGUGAGUAAUGUCUGGGAAACUGCCUGAUGGAGGGGGAUAACUACUGGAAACGGUGGCUAAUACCGCAUAACGUCGCAAGACCAAAGAGGGGGACCUUCGGGCCUCUUGCCAUCAGAUGUGCCCAGAUGGGAUUAGCUUGUUGGUGAGGUAACGGCUCACCAAGGCGACGAUCCCUAGCUGGUCUGAGAGGAUGACCAGCCACACUGGAACUGAGACACGGUCCAGACUCCUACGGGAGGCAGCAGUGGGGAAUAUUGCACAAUGGGCGCAAGCCUGAUGCAGCCAUGCCGCGUGUAUGAAGAAGGCCUUCGGGUUGUAAAGUACUUUCAGCGGGGAGGAAGGUGUUGUGGUUAAUAACCGCAGCAAUUGACGUUACCCGCAGAAGAAGCACCGGCUAACUCCGUGCCAGCAGCCGCGGUAAUACGGAGGGUGCAAGCGUUAAUCGGAAUUACUGGGCGUAAAGCGCACGCAGGCGGUCUGUCAAGUCGGAUGUGAAAUCCCCGGGCUCAACCUGGGAACUGCAUUCGAAACUGGCAGGCUUGAGUCUUGUAGAGGGGGGNNNNNNNNNNNNNNNNNNNNGUAGCGGUGAAAUGCGUAGAGAUCUGGAGGAAUACCGGUGGCGAAGGCGGCCCCCUGGACAAAGACUGACGCUCAGGUGCGAAAGCGUGGGGAGCAAACAGGAUUAGAUACCCUGGUAGUCCACGCCGUAAACGAUGUCUACUUGGAGGUUGUGCCCUUGAGGCGUGGCUUCCGGAGCUAACGCGUUAAGUAGACCGCCUGGGGAGUACGGCCGCAAGGUUAAAACUCAAAUGAAUUGACGGGGGCCCGCACAAGCGGUGGAGCAUGUGGUUUAAUUCGAUGCAACGCGAAGAACCUUACCUGGUCUUGACAUCCACGGAAGUUUUCAGAGAUGAGAAUGUGCCUUCGGGAACCGUGAGACAGGUGCUGCAUGGCUGUCGUCAGCUCGUGUUGUGAAAUGUUGGGUUAAGUCCCGCAACGAGCGCAACCCUUAUCCUUUGUUGCCAGCGGUCCGGCCGGGAACUCAAAGGAGACUGCCAGUGAUAAACUGGAGGAAGGUGGGGAUGACGUCAAGUCAUCAUGGCCCUUACGACCAGGGCUACACACGUGCUACAAUGGCGCAUACAAAGAGAAGCGACCUCGCGAGAGCAAGCGGACCUCAUAAAGUGCGUCGUAGUCCGGAUUGGAGUCUGCAACUCGACUCCAUGAAGUCGGAAUCGCUAGUAAUCGUGGAUCAGAAUGCCACGGUGAAUACGUUCCCGGGCCUUGUACACACCGCCCGUCACACCAUGGGAGUGGGUUGCAAAAGAAGUAGGUAGCUUAACCUUCGGGAGGGCGCUUACCACUUUGUGAUUCAUGACUGGGGUGAAGUCGUAACAAGGUAACCGUAGGGGAACCUGCGGUUGGAUCACCUCCUUACCUUAAAGAAGCGUACUUUGCAGUGCUCACACAGAUUGUCUGAUGAAAA
RNAcentral lists this ribosomal RNA (1698 nucleotides) under Salmonella enterica subsp. enterica serovar Paratyphi A. RNAcentral's name for it is "bacterial SSU rRNA". It matches the Rfam family "Bacterial small subunit ribosomal RNA". The record is from RNAcentral. Lineage: Bacteria; Pseudomonadati; Pseudomonadota; Gammaproteobacteria; Enterobacterales; Enterobacteriaceae.